CCUACGGGUGGCAGCAGUGAGGAAUAUUGGUCAAUGGGAGAGAUCCUGAACCAGCCAAGCCGCGUGAGGGAAGACGGCCCUAUGGGUUGUAAACCUCUUUUGUCGGAGAACAAAACCCGGGACGUGUCCCGUACUGCGUGUAUUCGAAGAAAAAGCAUCGGCUAACUCCGUGCCAGCAGCCGCGGUAAUACGGAGGAUGCGAGCGUUAUCCGGUUUUAUUGGGUUUAAAGGGUGCGUAGGCGGUACGUUAAGUCAGCGGGAAAAUUGCGGGGCUCAACCCCGUCGAGCCGUUGAAACUGGCAGACUUGAGUUGGCGAGAGGUACGCGGAAUGCGCGGUGUAGCGGUGAAAUGCAUAGAUAUCGCGCAGAACUCCGAUUGCGAAGGCAGCGUACCGGCGCCAGACUGACGCUGAGGCACGAAAGCGUGGGGAUCGAACAGGAUUAGAUACCCUGGUAGUC
Molecule: ribosomal RNA, 459 nt
Filed under: uncultured bacterium
Lineage: Bacteria
Description: partial 16S ribosomal RNA
Rfam family: Bacterial small subunit ribosomal RNA
Source: RNAcentral